GAUAUAUAGAUAAAAGUUUUCUAAAAUAUUCUCAUAUGUUGUUUCAAGAAACAAAUUAAAAGUUCUUAUUGUUCUUUGCUUAUAUGAAAUUUCUAUUUCCUUUGACUAGCUUUUUGUAACAUCAUACUGCAUUAUGUUUUUUAAAUAUAAAUCUGACAGUAUUUUAUUAGAAAAAAAAUUUGCAAGGGGUAUUGUUGUAAUAAGAUGAAAGUAUGAGGAGUAAGCGGCAAACUCGCUUGAUAUAAACUUACAAGGGCUAAACUUAGAGUAUUGUCGAUUGACUAAAAAUAAAUUAUCACCCCAAAAGAUCUUAUAGUCGUUUGAUUUAUUUUAUAGAAGAUAAGUUGCUUUAAUUAAUAUUUUUACAGAAAUAUAUUAUUUAAAAUUUUGGAUUUUGAGUGUCCACUGAUGAAUUUUAUUUUAAUGAAAAAAAUAUCAUAUGAGUUUAAUAUAGUUAAUAACUUAUUUGAAAUAGUUUUUU
This 481-nucleotide unclassified non-coding RNA is filed under the name Hevea brasiliensis (rubber tree). The record is from RNAcentral. Lineage: Eukaryota; Viridiplantae; Streptophyta; Magnoliopsida; Malpighiales; Euphorbiaceae.